This is a long non-coding RNA of Ornithodoros turicata, 667 nucleotides long. RefSeq lists it as uncharacterized. The record is from RefSeq and is a predicted model, not a curated record. The transcript is spliced from 3 exons. NCBI's taxonomy places the organism in Eukaryota, Metazoa, Arthropoda, Arachnida, Ixodida, Argasidae.
UUCGCCGCCCGUGUCUGAACACGUCCAAACAUGUUCAAACACGUCUUAACAUGUUCAAACACGUUCAAUGACGUCAUAGAGAGUGAGAGGCAAAGCUUUACUAUAAAUGUCGAAGCGAAUGGUCGAUCGUCAUUCCAUCAUGAUCAGCUUGGUAGAUCCUCGUAAGUAAUACCCAUGACGUCAUCAUCGCCGAAAUGUUUGAAGAGUUUCGUUUCCAGUGUACAACACUUUUGCUGCGCGUGAAGUCGGUUUUUUCCCGCCUCACAUAUUUCGGGAGAUUGGCAGCGCCCGCUUCUUCUGUACCAAUUGUGGUGGAUUGUGGUCCAAAGAGCAAAAGCAUUGGACGGACCGAUUGAUUCGCCCGUUUCUCGGCUGUCGGACGGUACCGUUCGACGUACGUUGCGAAGGACUUCGACUAUUGAAGGAAGAUGGAGAAGAUGGACCAUCAGUGUCACUCUGUGACUGAAGAAGAUUAUUACGAAUGGCUACUGACGGGAGAUCUACCCCUGGUCCUAACCUUCAAGCCUCCUCCAAAGACCUUCUUUUUGCGAAUCGGCGAUCAACUGACUACCUGUCGUUGCGGUGGACUCUGGUCGAGAAACCCCAGCCAUUGGUUAGACUCGAGCCUUCGUCCGUAUUUGGGCUGCCUUCCCGGCUACGAAACCAA